Molecule: long non-coding RNA, 867 nt
Filed under: Bos taurus (domestic cattle)
Lineage: Eukaryota; Metazoa; Chordata; Mammalia; Artiodactyla; Bovidae
Description: long non-coding RNA NONBTAT026863
Source: RNAcentral
GUUUGUCGGAGAACAGGUUAAAAUGGUGAGUUUAAGCAGGAGUUGUGGUCAGAAUUAGACCAGCAUGGAGAGACUAGUACUUCCCCAGCCUUCAUUUGGAAGCCUGUCUCAAGAACCGUUACAAAAUCUGGGCCUUCAAAUACAUUUAAAAUCAUUUUAAUGUAGCAUGUAGGUAAGCAUAUUGAGUGACCCCAAAUCAAUCUAACAGUGAUGGUCUGCCACACUCCCAAAGCCCAGUUUUAAGCCACAUUUAUAAGGAUAAUUAUAAGGUUUGGUAACUAAAUUGGACAUUUUGUCGUCUUUAACUCUUGAUAUGAAGAUACCCCCACUUUGGGACCACAAAGUGACCAUGUAGUCACUUUGGGGAAAGAAACCACUGCUUUUUUCAUGGCAAAAAUUUAAAUCCUAGUGAACUGAGAAAUUUUUUUUAAUGAUUUAUAUUAUACCUCUGAAAAGGCAAAAUUAUGCAGAACUAGGUUGCCCUAAAGACAAACAAACCAGCAAAUCUCCUAUCUUGAGAGUUAAAACAUCUUUUUCAGUUAUAAUUCCAAUUUUUAAAACUCUCAGUGCUUUGUCUAAUUACAUGCCUUAACUUGUCAUAAGAGAUGCACCAACUGAAUCACUACCAUUUGACUGGAUGGAAGUGAAGUUUUUCCUCCAAAUAUAUUGAAACAAGGUCAUGAAACAUGUUUAGACUUUCUUCAUUACUGGAGACAGUGCAGUAUAGAGGUUGGCAUCACCCUGAUAACCCAAAAUUAGCACUCAAACAUAUAGUACUUGGAGGAAAAAGACCCACUGAAAUCUGCGAAAUUGCUUUUGAUAGCAGAUGAGCUUAUCAUUUUUGUAUCUGUCAUGUUUCAUAAAGGA